RNAcentral lists this ribosomal RNA (253 nucleotides) under uncultured bacterium. RNAcentral's name for it is "partial 16S ribosomal RNA". It matches the Rfam family "Bacterial small subunit ribosomal RNA", at positions 524 to 776 of the family's 1533-position model. The record is from RNAcentral.
GACGGAGGGGGCAAGCGUUGUCCGGAAUCACUGGGCGUAAAGCGCGUGUAGGCGGUCGUGUGCGUCGGUGCUGAAAGCGCCCGGCUUAACCGGGCGAGGCGUGCCGAUACGAUGCGACUGGAGGCAGGCAGAGGGCGGCGGAAUUCCGGGUGUAGCGGUGAAAUGCGUAGAGCUCCGGAGGAACGCCGGUGGGGGAGCCGGCCGCCUGGGCCUGACCUGACGCUGAGACGCGAAAGCGUGGGGAGCAAACCGG